UUUUACAAUGGAGAGUUUGAUCCUGGCUCAGGAUGAACGCUAGCUACAGGCUUAACACAUGCAAGUCGAGGGGAAACGACAUCGAAAGCUUGCUUUUGAUGGGCGUCGACCGGCGCACGGGUGAGUAACGCGUAUCCAACCUGCCCACCACUUGGGGAUAACCUUGCGAAAGUAAGACUAAUACCCAAUGAUAUCUCUAGAAGACAUCUGAAAGAGAUUAAAGAUUUAUCGGUGAUGGAUGGGGAUGCGUCUGAUUAGCUUGUUGGCGGGGUAACGGCCCACCAAGGCGACGAUCAGUAGGGGUUCUGAGAGGAAGGUCCCCCACAUUGGAACUGAGACACGGUCCAAACUCCUACGGGAGGCAGCAGUGAGGAAUAUUGGUCAAUGGACGAGAGUCUGAACCAGCCAAGUAGCGUGCAGGAAGACGGCCCUAUGGGUUGUAAACUGCUUUUAUAAGGGAAUAAAGUGAGAGUCGUGACUCUUUUUGCAUGUACCUUAUGAAUAAGGACCGGCUAAUUCCGUGCCAGCAGCCGCGGUAAUACGGAAGGUCCGGGCGUUAUCCGGAUUUAUUGGGUUUAAAGGGAGCGUAGGCCGGAGAUUAAGCGUGUUGUGAAAUGUAGG
This 621-nucleotide ribosomal RNA is filed under the name Segatella copri. RNAcentral's name for it is "bacterial SSU rRNA". It matches the Rfam family "Bacterial small subunit ribosomal RNA", at positions 1 to 605 of the family's 1533-position model. Lineage: Bacteria; Pseudomonadati; Bacteroidota; Bacteroidia; Bacteroidales; Prevotellaceae. The record is from RNAcentral.